RNAcentral lists this ribosomal RNA (253 nucleotides) under uncultured bacterium. RNAcentral describes it as "partial 16S ribosomal RNA". It matches the Rfam family "Bacterial small subunit ribosomal RNA", at positions 524 to 776 of the family's 1533-position model. The record is from RNAcentral.
GACGAACCGAGCGAACGUUGUUCGGAAUCACUGGGCUUAAAGGGCGCGUAGGCGGGUGCUCAAGUCCGUGGUGAAAUCCUCCGGCUCAACCGGAGAACUGCCUCGGAUACUGGGCGUCUCGAGUGUGGUAGGGGUAUGCGGAACUAUCGGUGGAGCGGUGAAAUGCGUUGAUAUCGAUAGGAACACCAGUGGCGAAGGCGAGUCUCUGGACAUUUCCUGACGCUGAGGCACGAAAGCCAGGGGAGCAAACGGG